This 459-nucleotide ribosomal RNA is filed under the name uncultured bacterium. RNAcentral describes it as "partial 16S ribosomal RNA". It matches the Rfam family "Bacterial small subunit ribosomal RNA", at positions 338 to 795 of the family's 1533-position model. The record is from RNAcentral.
CCUACGGGGGGCAGCAGUGAGGAAUAUUGGUCAAUGGGCGCGAGCCUGAACCAGCCAAGUCGCGUGAGGGAAGACGGUCCUAUGGAUUGUAAACCUCUUUUGUCGGGGAGCAAAAGACGCCACGCGUGGCGUUCCGUGAGUACCCGAAGAAAAAGCAUCGGCUAACUCGGUGCCAGCAGCCGCGUUAAUACGGAGGAUGCGAGCGUUAUCCGGAUUUAUUGGGUUAAAAGGGUGCGAAGGCGGAAGAUCAAGUCAGCGGUAAAAUUGAGAGGCUCAACCUCUUCGAGCCGUUGAAACUGGUUUUCUUGAGUGAGUGAGAAGUAUGCGGAAUGCGUGGUGUAGCGGUGAAAUGCAUAGAUAUCACGCAGAACUCCGAUUGCGAAGGCAGCAUACCGGCGCUCAACUGACGCUCAUGCACGAAAGUGUGGGUAUCGAACAGGAUUAGAUACCCCGGUAGUC